This 497-nucleotide ribosomal RNA is filed under the name uncultured bacterium. RNAcentral's name for it is "partial 16S ribosomal RNA". It matches the Rfam family "Bacterial small subunit ribosomal RNA", at positions 28 to 507 of the family's 1533-position model. The record is from RNAcentral.
GAUGAACGCUGGCGGCGUGCCUAAUACAUGCAAGUCGAGCGAACAGAUGAGGAGCUUGCUCCUCUGACGUUAGCGGCGGACGGGUGAGUAACACGUGGAUAACCUACCUUUAAGCCUGGGAUAACUUCGGGAAACCGGAGCUAAUACCGGAUAAUAUAUUGAACCGCAUGGUUCAAUAGUGAAAGACGGUUUUGCUUUCCCUUAUAGAUGGAUCCGCGUCGCAUUAGCUAGUUGGUAAGGUAACGGCUUACCAAGGCAACGAUCCGUAGCCGACCUGAGAGGGUGAUCGGCCACACUGGAACUGAGACACGGUCCAGACUCCUACGGGAGGCAGCAGUAGGGAAUCUUCCGCAAUGGGCGAAAGCCUGACGGAGCAACGCCGCGUGAGUGAUGAAGGUCUUCGGAUCGUAAAACUCUGUUAUUAGGGAAGAACAAAUGUGUAAGUAACUAUGCACGUCUUGACGGUACCUAAUCAGAAAGCCACGGCUAACUACGUG